CAUUUGUUCUCUAAAUAAGGACUUGUAUGAAUGGCCACACGAGGGUUUUACUGUCUCUUACUUCCAAUCAGUGAAAUUGACCUCCCCGUGAAGAGGCGGGGAUAAAUCAACAAGACGAGAAGACCCUAUGGAGCUUUAACUAACUAAUCCAAGGAAAAUAAAUUUAAUCACCAAGAGAUAACAACACUCCUUAUGAAUUAGCAGUUUCGGUUGGGGUGACCUCGGAGAACAGAAAAUCCUCCGAGCGAUUUUAAAGACUAGACUAACAAGUCAAACCAAACCAUCGCUUAUUGAUCCAAAAACUUGAUCAACGGAACAAGUUACCCUAGGGAUAACAGCGCA
RNAcentral lists this ribosomal RNA (342 nucleotides) under Ovis dalli (Dall sheep). Its description in RNAcentral is "partial 16S ribosomal RNA". It matches the Rfam family "Bacterial large subunit ribosomal RNA", at positions 1966 to 2484 of the family's 2925-position model. Lineage: Eukaryota; Metazoa; Chordata; Mammalia; Artiodactyla; Bovidae. The record is from RNAcentral.